AGAGUUUGAUCCUGGCUCAGAUUGAACGCUGGCGGAAUGCUUUACACAUGCAAGUCGAACGGCAGCACGGGAGCUUGCCCCUGGUGGCGAGUGGCGAACGGGUGAGUAAUAUAUCGGAACAUAUCCUAUCGUGGGGGAUAACUAGUCGAAAGACUAGCUAAUACCGCAUACGUCCUGAGGGAGAAAGCGGGGGCUCGCAAGACCUCGCGCGAUUGGAGUGGCCGAUAUCUGACUAGCUAGAUGGUGAGGUAAAGGCUCACCAUGGCUUCGAUCAGUAGCUGGUCUGAGAGGAUGAUCAGCCACACUGGGACUGAGACACGGCCCAGACUCCUACGGGAGGCAGCAGUGGGGAAUUUUGGACAAUGGGCGAAAGCCUGAUCCAGCCAUUCCGCGUGAGUGAAGAAGGCCUUCGGGUUGUAAAGCUCUUUCGGCAGGAACGAAACGGCGGAUAUUAAUACUAUCCGUUACUGACGGUACCUGAAGAAGAAGCACCGGCUAACUACGUGCCAGCAGCCGCGGUAAUAC
Molecule: ribosomal RNA, 525 nt
Filed under: uncultured Thiobacillus sp.
Lineage: Bacteria; Pseudomonadati; Pseudomonadota; Betaproteobacteria; Nitrosomonadales; Thiobacillaceae
Description: bacterial SSU rRNA
Rfam family: Bacterial small subunit ribosomal RNA
Source: RNAcentral